Molecule: long non-coding RNA, 932 nt
Filed under: Marmota monax (woodchuck)
Lineage: Eukaryota; Metazoa; Chordata; Mammalia; Rodentia; Sciuridae
Source: RNAcentral
AAUGUAGAAGUAAAAAUUAUGUAUGCAAUUUUCUAUGUUACAAAAACAGAUCCUAUGGUAUAGUGAAAAUCAUUGCUUUAGUAAGAUUAUUGAGUAAGCUUUUUUAAUAGAAUAGACUGUGCCCUGUCAAAAUCUUAGAAGGGUAAUCAAGUGAAUAUUGAGUGUUAGGUAUAUAUAAUUGUGUCUCUCCAAACAUGCCAGUACUUCAAAAUGUUACUACAUUUGGAGAUAGGGCUUGUAUGGAGGUCAUCAAGCUAAAGUGAGGUCUUUGGGGGUGGAUGUCACUCCAGUAUGAUUGGUGUUCUUAGAAAAUGGAGAAAUUUGGAUGCAGAGACAGGCAUACACAAGGAAAACACAAUGUGAAUAUAAAAACAAAAAUCAGGAUGAUGUUUCUGCAAGACAAGGAAUGCGAAGAACUGACAGCAAAUCAUUAAAAACCAGGAGAAGGGUCUGGAACGGAGUUUCCAUCAAGGUCUCAGAAGGAACCAAUUCUUCCAGCACCUUGAUCUUGCACUUCUAGCUUCCAGAACUAUGAAAUAAUGGGUUUCUGUUGUUGUAAGUCAAGCAGUUUAUGGUACUUUGUUAGAGCAGCCUUAGCAAACUAGUACAGAGAAGUCCAGAGGUAUUUAAUCUCUGAAAAAUAAUAUGAAAUGAUAUAACCAAGUCUGGUAUUUUUCAUUAUUGCAUGUCAUUGAUGUAAGGUAUGCUUUAGGAAAUACUUAAUUUCUGAAUCACAAACCCAAAGUGAUGAUUGUUGCAAAUCCAAAAUAAAGAAUAAGCUCAGUGCCUUCAAAUUUAGGGUUAUUGAAAUGUACAGAAUACCCACAAACUUAGUACAGAUCACACAAUAUAAGGAGAAAGCUCCUUACUACCAGAAAAACCUACACACCUUCAUUCAUCCAUUCAUCUUUUUAUCACUCAACAGAUAUUAU